This 484-nucleotide ribosomal RNA is filed under the name uncultured bacterium. RNAcentral describes it as "partial 16S ribosomal RNA". It matches the Rfam family "Bacterial small subunit ribosomal RNA", at positions 30 to 507 of the family's 1533-position model. The record is from RNAcentral.
AUUGAACGCUGGCGGCAGGCCUAACACAUGCAAGUCGAGCGGAUGAAGGGGGCUUGCUCCUGGAUUCAGCGGCGGACGGGUGAGUAAUGCCUAGGAAUCUGCCUGGUAGUGGGGGAUAACGUCCGGAAACGGGCGCUAAUACCGCAUACGUCCUGAGGGAGAAAGUGGGGGAUCUUCGGACCUCACGCUAUCAGAUGAGCCUAGGUCGGAUUAGCUAGUUGGUGGGGUAAGGGCCUACCAAGGCGACGAUCCGUAACUGGUCUGAGAGGAUGAUCAGUCACACUGGAACUGAGACACGGUCCAGACUCCUACGGGAGUCAGCAGUGGGGAAUAUUGGACAAUGGGCGAAAGCCUGAUCCAGCCAUGCCGCGUGUGUGAAGAAGGUCUUCGGAUUGUAAAGCACUUUAAGUUGGGAGGAAGGGCAGUAAGUUAAUACCUUGCUGUUUUGACGUUACCAACAGAAUAAGCACCGGCUAACUUCGUG